AGCUUUGCACAGUGGCAGUAUCAUAGCCGAUGAGGUUUAUCUGAGGCUAAUUGAAAACUUUUACCCGUGCCCCACCAUGACAACUUGCAAUAUAGUCAGCAAGGGCAAUUUUUGACGGUCUCUACAGAGA
Molecule: small nuclear RNA, 130 nt
Organism: Otolemur garnettii (small-eared galago)
Lineage: Eukaryota; Metazoa; Chordata; Mammalia; Primates; Galagidae
Gene: U4
Rfam family: U4 spliceosomal RNA
About the family: U4 small nuclear RNA (U4 snRNA) is a component of the major U2-dependent spliceosome. The structure of U4 snRNA from yeast and human has been reported.
Source: Ensembl